Molecule: long non-coding RNA, 262 nt
Filed under: Scleropages formosus (Asian bonytongue)
Lineage: Eukaryota; Metazoa; Chordata; Actinopteri; Osteoglossiformes; Osteoglossidae
Description: lncRNA (ENSSFOG00015025271.1)
Source: RNAcentral
AUCGGUUUCAUAUGAGUACACUCCCUUGUCCCCAAGGUGACCCUGGACAAAGGGGUUUGCCAGGACCACCUGGUGAAAAAGGACCGAAAGGAUCUGUGGGUAGCCCUGGGACAGAUGGUGCUAAAGGCCCUAGAGGUGAGCAAGGAGCAACUGGACUGCCAGGAAUCAGAGGACCGCAGGGUCCGCUUGGGGAUGCUGGGAUGCCAGGUAAUACAAGUCACUUCACGAGUCUUUGUCGUUCAUACAUUUAUUAUUGACGACC